AAACCUUGACACAAAUCUUCUUAAGACAUGGUGUAUCAUAUUUUUCAAAAUUACAUGACGCAGAUAGAUUACUUAAAAUCUAUGAGCUUGGUGAAAAAUAUAUUUACUGGUAUAUUGAAGAGAAUGACAUCGAUACUCAAAAUCAUAAAGACAUAAAUGGU
This is a long non-coding RNA of Daktulosphaira vitifoliae (grape phylloxera), 161 nucleotides long. RefSeq lists it as uncharacterized. The record is from RefSeq and is a predicted model, not a curated record. Lineage: Eukaryota; Metazoa; Arthropoda; Insecta; Hemiptera; Phylloxeridae. The transcript is spliced from 4 exons.